AAAAAAAUGAACGAAAAACAAAUAUGUAACACAUAAACAAACGACAACCACUGAAUAUACAGGCUCCUGACUUGGGACAGGCACAUACAUAAUGAUGUGGCGGGGUUAAACAUGUUAGCGGGAUCCCAACCCUUCCCCUAACCUGGGACAGUGGUAUAACAGUACAACAUAAGAACGAACUAUAAAAAUCAGUUGAAAAAGGCUUAACUCAUCAGAUGGACAAAAAUAUAAGUGGACGUGGCCGGGUACUUAUACAUCCCGACACAAAAAGACACAAUGAACAGAUCUGAGAGUACUCGCAGUUAUCUGACAGCUAGUUCAAAGCCACUAGCAACUAAUAAAAAAUCAUGCAUCUAAGACUAAACUAUUAAUCCGUACACAUCCAACAUCCAAUGGAUUUAGUGUAAAGACAUCAUAAACAGCCAGAGAAAAACAUGACCUUGUGCAAUGCCAAGUUACAGGUAUCGACAGAUUGUAGAUCCAU
RNAcentral lists this long non-coding RNA (484 nucleotides) under Mytilus galloprovincialis (Mediterranean mussel). Lineage: Eukaryota; Metazoa; Mollusca; Bivalvia; Mytilida; Mytilidae. The record is from RNAcentral.